UACGUAGGUGGCAAGCGUUGUCCGGAAUUAUUGGGCGUAAAGGGCGCGCAGGCGGCCUGUCAAGUCUGUCUUAAAAGUGCGGGGCUCGACCCCGUGAUGGGACGGAAACUGGCAGGCUGGAGUGUCGGAGAGGAAAGCAGAAUUCCUAGUGUAGCGGUGAAAUGCGUAGAUAUUAGGAGGAAUACCAGUGGCGAAAGCGGCUUUCUGGACGACAACUGACGCUGAGGCGCGAAAGCCAGGGGAGCAAACGGGAUUAGAUACCCCGGUAGUCCUGGCCGUAAACGAUGGGUACUAGGUGUAGGAGGUAUCGACCCCUUCUGUGCCGGAGUUAACGCAAUAAGUAUCCCGCCAGGGGAGUACGGCCGCAAGGCUGAA
Molecule: ribosomal RNA, 375 nt
Filed under: uncultured bacterium
Lineage: Bacteria
Description: bacterial SSU rRNA
Rfam family: Bacterial small subunit ribosomal RNA
Source: RNAcentral